This 347-nucleotide ribosomal RNA is filed under the name Paenibacillus sp. GSMTC-2017. RNAcentral's name for it is "Bacterial large subunit ribosomal RNA". It matches the Rfam family "Bacterial large subunit ribosomal RNA", at positions 2571 to 2925 of the family's 2925-position model. Lineage: Bacteria; Bacillati; Bacillota; Bacilli; Caryophanales; Paenibacillaceae. The record is from Rfam by way of RNAcentral.
GUUGGGCUGUUCGCCCAUUAAAGCGGUACGCGAGCUGGGUUCAGAACGUCGUGAGACAGUUCGGUCCCUAUCUGUCGCGGGCGUAGGAAAUUUGAGAGGAGCUGUCCUUAGUACGAGAGGACCGGGAUGGACGUACCGCUGGUGUACCAGUUGUUCCGCCAGGAGCACCGCUGGGUAGCCAAGUACGGACGGGAUAAGCGCUGAAAGCAUCUAAGCGUGAAGCCCCCCUCAAGAUGAGAUUUCCCAGUAUGUAAGACCCCUUGAAGACGACGAGGUUGAUAGGUUCGGGGUGGAAGUGCAGUAAUGUACGGAGCUGACGAAUACUAAUCGGUCGAGGGCUUAUCCUA